This 24-nucleotide non-coding RNA is filed under the name Cricetulus griseus (Chinese hamster). Lineage: Eukaryota; Metazoa; Chordata; Mammalia; Rodentia; Cricetidae. The record is from RNAcentral.
ACUGUGGAAUUCAAGCAUGAUGAC